GCAGCACGAGUGAGGGGGGCCCCCUAAACCCUCUGAGGGCGGGGGCCCCUGGAUGGUUGCUGC
Molecule: non-coding RNA, 63 nt
Organism: Eimeria tenella
Lineage: Eukaryota; Apicomplexa; Conoidasida; Eucoccidiorida; Eimeriidae
Source: Rfam